Molecule: long non-coding RNA, 2164 nt
Organism: Anguilla anguilla (European eel)
Lineage: Eukaryota; Metazoa; Chordata; Actinopteri; Anguilliformes; Anguillidae
Exons: 4
Source: RefSeq, a predicted model, not a curated record
GCAGAUAAGGGGAAAAACAAGAGCGGGGACCAGGGGAAAGCACACUGCACUACCACCAGCGCACACAUUCCACAGUCCAGAGCCUCUGCACUCCAAGUGAUUUAAUCAAGAAAUACAUUUAGCUGCUUGGAGUGUUUGUGCGCGGCAAGAUUUCCUUCUGGGUGGGCCCAGGUGUGCUUACCAUCUUGGCGUCAGGUGACAGCAGGCUGUGGCUGGGGUCCAGGCCUCCCGGAGACACCUGCUGGAGGACCGACUGACUGGUCGCCAUGCCGUUGUUGCUGUGGUGACUAAUGGUGGUGGAGGAAGUGACCUCGCUAGCUCCCGGCUGACUGUAUCGAACUGCAAAGAUAGUGAGAGGAAUGCAUGGACAAUUCUUUAGAUUUAUUUAUUUGUCAGUUUUUUGGUAAGUCUGGAUACUUCCUGCUCCUCCCUCUCCUCACACAAGUACUACAGGUAACAAACCUCCACACAGUUCUCCAACAUGCCAGUUUUGAUUGCAAAAAGUUAGAGAAGGAGCACAACUCGGACAAAGAUAAUCACUAAAAUAGUGCUCUUUGGAAGGAGGGGGAAAUAUCAACGCAUUAAAAAGGGUUUCAUUUGCCAGUAAAAAUUAAGGUUCACCCUGAUGAAGGCCGUGCAAGGCCUAAAUAUGUAGAUCCAGCAUAUAUAAAUUUUUCUUGCCAUGUUGCCAGGCUUUUAACUUUACCAUUAAGAGAGCCUUGGAUUCCUACUUGUUUGCCACUUUGUACUUUCUCAUAAUUUUGACAGGCAAACUAAACCCUUUUUGACAGAAACCUCCUUCAGUAACUUCUCACAGAGAGGGUUUCACCACUGAGAUUACAGCCUGUCAGACACAGACACUGCUCACGGGCUCAGAAUAGAGAGACAAAGCAACACCAACGCAGUACCAGAGCAGACAAGGCCAACACCUUUCCCUCCUAAAACCCUGUGCCUCACCUACAGGACCAUGUCAAUCACAACAGCUCUCACACACGGCUACAGCAGAAAGGGACAUUAGGUCUGCUGAGACAACAUAUACCUCGCUAACUGAUAGGGCGCAACUGUCAUUCCAGCCUCCGCAUAUGGAAACAGAUGGUUGAUACGAAAGGCAAGGACAAUAGUCGCCACACAUAGAUUCAGCUUGUUUGCCUUGUUUGCAACAGAGUAAUCAUCGCUGAAAAACACUCUUCAGGGAAUAACAACCAAACCGUAUACACACAGCACUGUAUACACACAGGUAAAACAAAGUCAUGUAAGAAAUAUUCAAAAUAUUUGUUUGUCAUGCACACACAACACUGACAAGAAAGCCAAAUAUAAAAUGAUAAAAAUUCAAUUAAUGAAAUUUUUUGAUGAAUAGUUUUAUAUUAUAUAUUAUUCAACAUGCGGUAUUAGUUGUUUAUUAAAGGCUGCAUGUUGUUUAUGACUGUUUUCUAAUAAUAGUACAUCCAGUACAGUUACCAUUUAGAUACCUAAAUAUAGAAAUGUGCUUUUAUUAAACAGCUAGAUUUGUUAUACAUAAUUUAAUAAAUAGUUGUGUGUGUGCGUGUUUGUGUGUGUGAGUGUGUGUGUGUGUGUGUGCAUGUGAGUACGCAUUUGUGUGUGUGGGUGAAUAAGUUUGUAUAUCCUCCCUCCAACAUAUGUCACAGUGUCCCGAAAUGGCUCAAUCACCCAGACUGCGCAACCCAGUGCCUUGUAAACAGCAGUCUAGUGCUGUACAAGCCUCCGGCUAUGACCCAGGCCCAAUUAACGGACUUUCCAUUUUACAGCCGUCUCCCUCUGAAAGAGUGACCCGGGCAAAUGGAGGUUCUGUCCCGCUGUGACUCAACCCUUCAGACCCCAUUUUGGGCCGGGUUGCCCACUAUUGUGGGAAUACAGAGAGCGAGGUAAGGACAAAGUCCCACCCCCCACCCACCCCGCUCCUGGAGGACCUUUUGGAUGACGCUUGGGAACGUCAGGCCAAAGGAGGACCCUUUGGGCGGCAUUUCGGAACGUCAGGCCAAAAGAGACAUCAGGCCAAAACACACUCCAACCCAGGAUACUUAAAACAACGCAAAGCAUUUCAGAUGACCCUGCGAUCGACCCUUGGCUGACCCGGGCAUGCUGCAGGACUGCCCCCCUCUUUGAAGCGUUCCUGUUGGCUGACUUUGGACUGUAGGUUGCAGGU